Molecule: long non-coding RNA, 2581 nt
Organism: Cyprinus carpio (common carp)
Lineage: Eukaryota; Metazoa; Chordata; Actinopteri; Cypriniformes; Cyprinidae
Source: Ensembl
GUUUUCAUGUAGGUUCGGGUUUAAUUGAGUCUGUCAGGAUGACACGUGACCUACCUGAGCUCGACAGGACAGGUAGGUUCACAUAGUUUCGCUCCAGUGAAUGUUGAAAGAGGCGCGAUCGAGACUCACUGUUACUGUUGCGCGACUCAAAACGGGUCGCUGCGCUUAUUUAGCUAGACUAUUUAUUUGUGUGAAAUAAGUUUGGUGAGUGGUUUAUUUCGUCCACACGUUUCCUGUAAGCCUCUCAGAGAACCUCACAGCCGAAAUGGAUGGCGAUUCACUGUUUGGUGUCUCAGGUCUGAUCAUGGAGAAUGGGAUCAGCAGCAUCUCCUGGAAUCCUUUCUAUUCAAACCCACAGAGUCCAGCGAAUGGAGAUCAAGAUGCUAUCGAUACAAUCAGAGAAAAUCAUUCUGAUCAGGACUAUGAUGUGAAAACAGAGAACAAUAUGUUGCCAAACAUGACGAGUUUAACCAAAACUCACCAGCCGGCUGAGUUUUCAGACCAUCCUUUUCCAGCUUCAGACGGGGUUUUGUUUUCUCCGCCUGAUUUUUAUAAAGACGACACGCCGAUUGGCUUCCGAAGCACGUCAGCGGCAGGCACACGGAGUGAAGAGACAGACAUUUUCCAGCCUUUUAAAGAGAAGGCAGACACUGAUGUGACACACAGCAGCUCAGCCAAUCAGAACGCAGAAUCCUGGCCUUCGUCCAAUCAGAGGGAUCCCCUCCUGGAAUUCAUCCUCUCCAGAGGGAAGAACUUCCCAGCUCCACCAUCUGAAACCAUCAGCGUUCUCCAAGAAACCUCCACUAAAGCGGACGGUUUCCUCAAAACUCCUUCAGUGUCCACCUCGCCGUUCGUUUCUAAAACCAACGAUAUUUUCAAGACAUCCUCGUCCAGCGCAGGAUCCAAGGUCCCCGACAUCCAGUCGUUCGAUCCUCUGUUCGCCCCUCAGGAUGAAGUUCAGUGCACUCAGAAGAGCGCUGAUCUACUGUUCACCCGUCAGGAGGACGCUGCUGCGUCUCACGGUCAAGAGACGCCAGCUUUAGCAACACCUUCCACAAGCAUCUCAAAUGGAGAUCUGAUGUUCAGGAGGCGUCCGCCCAGAGCUGCUCCCCGCAGUAAACCCCCGAAGCGCCUCCUCCAGCCUCCUGCUCUCUCUCAGAUCACGUCGCCUGUGGUGGAGAGAGAUCCGCUGGUUUAUGAGGACGUUCUUCUCAUCGGUCAGGAGAAUUGUGUGGAGGACUGGCCUGAACACAGUCCAGAACUUUCUCCAGAAUGGAAACCAGCUGGCAAGCUCAGGCUUCGCAGAGACUCUGUACGGAUUUCAGACGCGUCUGAUGGAGGCGGUGAUGGGCAUCUGAAGAAGAACGGGAAGCAGACUCUGGGAAGGAAACUGAGACACUCGCUGCUGAUCAGGAGGAGCUCAAAGGAUAAAACUGGAGAUGAAGUGAAGAGCUCAGAGACGAACACACACUCACUGAAUCGAGGCUCAAAGCUCAUUAACGGCACGGAUAAGUUUUUCGCUCCAGAUGAAGAAGAGCAGAAUGAAGCUGCGGAGUAUAAAUCGAAGAAACCAUCAAAACCCAAGAUUAUUACACACCGCAGAGGCUCUAAGGUGAAAUCUGCUGAAGCUUCAGACUAUAAGGAUGAUUUAACUUCCUCAUGGAAACACGCUGAUCUCGAGGCUUUGAGAGAGAAGAAAGCAGACGAUGUGGACUGCAAACCGAAGCAGCCACAUAAAUUCAAGCCUCCUGUACCACACCUACCAUCAAAGGAAAACUUUGCAGUUGGUCUGAAAUCAAUGAAUGGUCCUCCACUGAUGGAAUCAAAGUCCUUCUCCAAAGAUCCCUUUCUGGAAGGAGAUCUGGAUCUUGGCGCUUCAGUCCGUGACAGUCAUCAGACAGCAGAGAUCGACACACAUCCGGAUGAUGAAGAGCGAAACGCAGAGGAGACUGAUGGACAGAAAUCGAAAAAGAAAGUGCGAGUUAAGUUUGUUCCACACCGAGGGUUUGUCAUCGGUUUAUCCAGGGUUGACAAGGCUAAUAAUAAAACCAAGGAGGAAAUACCACAUCUGAAGGAGCUGAAGGGAGCUUGUGGAUUCACUCCUCAUCCUCAUCUGAAGGGUGAUGAGGGGUUUGAUGAUCUGAAGGGAGCGUUUGGUUACGACUUCAAGGGAGACACGUUACUGAAAGCUGACGCUGGACAGAGUUACUCACCCAACCAUGUUCAGAGUUCAUAUUUUAAUGGCUUUACGAGUCCAGCAUGGGAUUCAAAGGCAGAUCUGGAGACAGACGUCCACAAAGCCUCGGAUCUCUUCACAGCUUCAGACGCCAGUGAGGGACAUCAGAAGAAAUCAAUAAAGUUUAAAGUCCUUCGCCUGCAUCGCAGACAGUCAAAGAGUUUUGAAGAUCCUGAGAUCAAGCAGAGCAAAGAUUCAGAGGUAAACAAACCUGUCAUUUCACUUCCUCACGAUUCAAAUACUUAUCAAAUUUUCACGGUCUUAUUUAUGUUUUUAUGUUAUUUCUCAAUCUUUUUUUUAUUUUAUUUCCCUUUAGAUUUUGUUUCUUUAAUUUCCAAAUAUUAC